Molecule: ribosomal RNA, 425 nt
Filed under: uncultured bacterium
Lineage: Bacteria
Description: partial 16S ribosomal RNA
Rfam family: Bacterial small subunit ribosomal RNA
Source: RNAcentral
GUGGGGAAUCUUGCGCAAUGGGCGAAAGCCUGACGCAGCCAUGCCGCGUGAAUGAUGAAGGUCUUAGGAUUGUAAAAUUCUUUCACCGGGGACGAUAAUGACGGUACCCGGAGAAGAAGCUCCGGCUAACUUCGUGCCAGCAGCCGCGGUAAUACGAAGGGGGCUAGCGUUGCUCGGAAUUACUGGGCGUAAAGGGCGCGUAGGCGGACAGCUUAGUCAGAGGUGAAAGCCCAGGGCUCAACCUUGGAAUUGCCUUUGAUACUGGCUGUCUUGAGUUUGGGAGAGGUGAGUGGAACUCCGAGUGUAGAGGUGAAAUGCGUAGAGAUCGGGAGGAACACCAGUGGCGAAGGCGACUUACUGGACUGUAACUGACGCUGAGGCGCGAAAGUGUGGGGAGCAAACAGGAUUAGAAACCCUAGUAGUCC